CCAAUAGCGUAUAUUAAAGUUGCUGCGGUUAAAAAGCUCGUAGUUGAAUUUCGGAAUUGAUGCAUCGGUCGUGCCUUAAGGGGCAUGAACUGGUGUAGCCAAUUUCUCACCUUCUGGUGAAUUGUUGAUGUUCUUAAUGGGUGUCUCAAUGAACUAGAAUUUUUUACUUUGAAAAAAUUAGAGUGUUUAAAGCAGGCAUUAAUUUGCUUGAAUACAUUAGCAUGGAAUAAUGAAAUAGGACAGUGGUUCCGUUUUGUUGGUUUCUAGGAUCACGUAAUGAUUAAUAGGGACAGUUGGGGGCAUUAGUAUUCAAUUGUCAGAGGUGAAAUUCUUGGAUUUAUUGAAGACUAACUAUUGCGAAAGCAUUUGCCAAGGAUGUUUUCAUUAAUCAAGAACGAAAGUUAGGGGAUCAAAGACGAUUAAGUACGUCGUAGUCCUAACCAUAAACUAUGCCGACUAGGGAUCGGAUGAUGUUAAUUUUUUAAUGACUCAUUCGGCGCCUUACG
This 506-nucleotide unclassified non-coding RNA is filed under the name uncultured Entrophospora. RNAcentral's name for it is "bacterial SSU rRNA". It matches the Rfam family "Eukaryotic small subunit ribosomal RNA", at positions 591 to 1092 of the family's 1831-position model. The record is from RNAcentral. Lineage: Eukaryota; Fungi; Glomeromycota; Glomeromycetes; Entrophosporales; Entrophosporaceae.